This 229-nucleotide ribosomal RNA is filed under the name uncultured Eubacteriales bacterium. RNAcentral describes it as "uncultured Clostridiales bacterium partial 16S ribosomal RNA". It matches the Rfam family "Bacterial small subunit ribosomal RNA", at positions 104 to 334 of the family's 1533-position model. The record is from RNAcentral. Lineage: Bacteria; Bacillati; Bacillota; Clostridia; Eubacteriales.
GGGUGAGUAACACGUGAGUAACCUGCCUUACACAAGGGGAUAGCCGUUGGAAACGACGAAUAAUACCCUAUGAAACUAUCACUUCGCAUGAAGCGAUAGUCAAAGUGUUAGCGGUGUAAGAUGGACUUGCGUCUGAUUAGCUAGUUGGUGAGAAAAAGCCCACCAAGGCAACGAUCAGUAGCCGGCUUGAGAGAGUGUACGGCCACAUUGGGACUGAGACACGGCCCAG